CUCAUCUGACAUUUCUGAUAAAGAUUUAAUGCUGAAGAGUUGUCCCCUCAUCUUCAAAGUUUCAGAGGGGCUCGACUAACUCACAGCUCUCGUCUUUCUCCUAUCUGGUAUAUACUUUCAAGUAAGAUGCUUGCCCUGCUCAGUGUCCUCCUGCUUUCAUCACAUGUCCUUCCUCUCGUCCAAUCACAGUCAUGCGAUGACAAAACAGAGUACUUAAAUGACAAAACAUGCUGCACAAAAUGUAAACCAGGAGAGUAUGUGUUAGAGAACUGCAUACAAAAAAUGCCUGUUACUCUGUGUGCCCCAUGUGGAAAUGGCUUCUUCACGGAUGACUAUAACAGCAAUUACAACUGGUGCUAUCAUUGUACAACGUGCUCCAAAGACCAUAUGAAGUAUGAGAAGAAUUGUACGGCGACAAGUGAUGCAGUGUGCACGUGUGUUGAAGGCUACAGAUGCAGAGACAGUAAAUGCCAGGAGUGUGAGAAGAUUCAGACAGCUACUGUUUCUUCUCCUGCUUCUACUAAAACAAUACCGCCCACCCAUGAUAUAAUGUGGAUCUCGGUGAGUCUGUGUUGUGCGUGUGUGUGUGUGUGUGUUCUGCUCACCUGUUUCCUUCUCAUCAGCAGACAUGCACGACAAUAUGGAUGGAUCAUGCCAACAUCACCCGGUCAGUGCUACUAUAGACAACACAUCAGUGCUUUAAUUCACAAAGAAAACCUGCUC
RNAcentral lists this long non-coding RNA (723 nucleotides) under Sinocyclocheilus grahami. RNAcentral's name for it is "lncRNA (ENSSGRG00000029833.1)". The record is from RNAcentral. Lineage: Eukaryota; Metazoa; Chordata; Actinopteri; Cypriniformes; Cyprinidae.